CAGUCGCCGCGGUAAUACAGAGGAUGCAAGCGUUAUCCGGAUUUAUUGGGCGUAAAGAGCUCGUAGGCGGCUAAGUAAGUCGGGUGUUAAAUCCCCAGGCUCAACCUGGGACACCACCCGAUACUGCUUUGGCUAGAGUCCGGUAGGGGAGCGUGGAAUUCCUGGUGUAGCGGUGAAAUGCGCAGAUAUCAGGAGGAACACCAGCGGCGAAGGCGGCGCUCUGGGCCGGAACUGACGCUGAGGAGCGAAAGCGUGGGUAGCAAACAGGAUUAGAUACCCCUGUAGUCCCUGUCUCUUAUAU
Molecule: ribosomal RNA, 301 nt
Filed under: uncultured bacterium
Lineage: Bacteria
Description: partial 16S ribosomal RNA
Rfam family: Bacterial small subunit ribosomal RNA
Source: RNAcentral